This is a long non-coding RNA of Priapulus caudatus, 139 nucleotides long. RefSeq lists it as uncharacterized. The transcript is spliced from 3 exons. Lineage: Eukaryota; Metazoa; Priapulida; Priapulimorpha; Priapulimorphida; Priapulidae. The record is from RefSeq and is a predicted model, not a curated record.
CAUUAAAGCAAGAACCUGCUUUUAUCAGGCUGAAGUGGUUCUUAUAUACUAGGUGCUUUAUUGGUCCAAUUUUAGCCUGGAGGUUUUUAAUCCGCAGUUUCUUUUAUGCGGGUGUUUACUGUAUUGUAAAGAACGCGAA